This 752-nucleotide small RNA is filed under the name Pan troglodytes (chimpanzee). RNAcentral describes it as "retained intron". Lineage: Eukaryota; Metazoa; Chordata; Mammalia; Primates; Hominidae. The record is from RNAcentral.
UUUCUUUUUUUCAGGCGGCCGGGAAGAUGGCGGACAUUCAGACUGAGCGUGCCUACCAAAAGCAGCCGACCAUCUUUCAAAACAAGAAGAGGGUCCUGCUGGGAGAAACUGGCAAGGAGAAGCUCCCGCGGUACUACAAGAACAUCGGUCUGGGCUUCAAGACACCCAAGGAGGUGCGGGGGAACCUCAGAAGAAAGAAGGGGACCGUGGCGUUCCUGCACGUGUGCCCACGACGAGUUGCCCUGCCUGCAUCUAAGUGGCUUCUGGGGCUGCUGGGAAUUGUAGUUGCUUCCCUGAGGCCACGCCCCUGGCUCUUUUAAGGAACCGCCCGCCCAAGGCUCACUCCUUUAUCUUUCCUAUCCUUUCAGGCUAUUGAGGGCACCUACAUUGACAAGAAAUGCCCCUUCACUGGUAAUGUGUCCAUUCGAGGGCGGAUCCUCUCUGGCGUGGUGACCAAGAUGAAGAUGCAGAGGACCAUUGUCAUCCGCCGAGACUAUCUGCACUACAUCCGCAAGUACAACCGCUUCGAGAAGCGCCACAAGAACAUGUCUGUACACCUGUCCCCCUGCUUCAGGGACGUCCAGAUCGGUGACAUCGUCACAGUGGGUGAGUGCCGGCCUCUGAGCAAGACAGUGCGCUUCAACGUGCUCAAGGUCACCAAGGCUGCCGGCACCAAGAAGCAGUUCCAGAAGUUCUGAGGCUGGACAUCGGCCCGCUCCCCACAAUGAAAUAAAGUUAUUUUCUCAUUCCCA